AGCAGCCGCGGUAAUUCCAGCUCCAAUAGCGUAUAUUAAAGUUGUUGCAGUUAAAAAGCUCGUAGUUGAAUUUCGGGGUUAGUAGGUCGGUCAUGCCUCUGGUAUGUACUGGUCUCACUGAUUCCUCCUUCCUGAUGAACCGUAAUGCCAUUAAUUUGGUGUUGCGGGGAAUUUGGACUGUUACUUUGAAAAAAUUAGAGUGUUUAAAGCAAGCUAACGCUUGAAUACAUUAGCAUGGAAUAAUGAAAUAGGACGUUCGAUCCUAUUUUGUUGGUUUCUAGGAUUGACGUAAUGAUUAAUAGGGAUAGUUGGGGGCAUUAGUAUUCAAUUGUCAGAGGUGAAAUUCUUGGAUUUAUUGAGGACUAACUACUGCGAAAGCAUUUGCCAAGGAUGUUUUCAUUAAUCAAGAACGAAAGUUAGGGGAUCGAAGACGAUCAGAUACCGUCGUAGUCUUAACCAUAAACUAUGCCGACUAGGGAUCGGAUGAUGUUAAUUUUUAAUGACUCAUUCGGCGCCUUAC
Molecule: ribosomal RNA, 520 nt
Filed under: uncultured Glomus
Lineage: Eukaryota; Fungi; Glomeromycota; Glomeromycetes; Glomerales; Glomeraceae
Description: SSU rRNA
Rfam family: Eukaryotic small subunit ribosomal RNA
Source: RNAcentral